This 466-nucleotide long non-coding RNA is filed under the name Parus major (Great Tit). RNAcentral describes it as "lncRNA (ENSPMJG00000010535.1)". Lineage: Eukaryota; Metazoa; Chordata; Aves; Passeriformes; Paridae. The record is from RNAcentral.
UUUACUCUUUACUGAACCAAACUCUGAUGAGUUUCUUUAUUUGCAUUCUGAUAUCCAAGUGUUGUUUUCCUCUUUAGUCUCCAUUCCUUUGUCUCACUUUUCAUUCCUCUCUGGUUAGAGCAGCUUUAACUCAGCAAUCAAAUCAGGCUCUGAGGUGCAACAAAGUGGUUGCCAAGAAUCCAGAGCUUUCAGGUGAAGUAAACAAAAUGUAGUCCCUCAGCAGAGGUGCAUUCAUGUUCUCUCACCUGGAAAAUAUAUAACAGAAGCAUGAAUAGAAGACUAAUGUAAAGAGCUGCUCUUCUUUUGUGUCAGGAUUGCUGCUCUCAUAAGAAUGUUCUGUCUUGAUGGGGAAAAAGAUAUCCAGGAGACAAAGUAGUUCCCAGCAAAGUUGUUUCCCUGCUGUGUUUUCCUGGGACCUGUUCCAUGUUCUGAGGUGAGCUAGCUUUGAGUUUGCUGCAGUUGUAUU